CCUACGGGAGGCAGCAGUGAGGAAUAUUGGUCAAUGGACGAGAGUCUGAACCAGCCAAGUAGCGUGAAGGAUGACUGCCCUAUGGGUUGUAAACUUCUUUUAUAUGGGAAUAAAAUGUUCCACGUGUGGGAUUUUGUAUGUACCAUAUGAAUAAGGAUCGGCUAACUCCGUGCCAGCAGCCGCGGUAAUACGGAGGAUCCGAGCGUUAUCCGGAUUUAUUGGGUUUAAAGGGUGCGUAGGUGGAUGGUUAAGUCAGUUGUGAAAGUUUGCGGCUCAACCGUAAAAUUGCAGUUGAAACUGGCAGUCUUGAGUACAGUAGAGGUGGGCGGAAUGCGUGGUGUAGCGGUGAAAUGCUUAGAUAUCACGAAGAACUCCGAUUGCGAAGGCAGUUCACUGGACUGCAACUGACACUGAGGCUCGAAAGUGUGGGUAUCAAACAGGAUUAGAUACCCGAGUAGUC
Molecule: ribosomal RNA, 460 nt
Filed under: uncultured bacterium
Lineage: Bacteria
Description: partial 16S ribosomal RNA
Rfam family: Bacterial small subunit ribosomal RNA
Source: RNAcentral